Molecule: non-coding RNA, 181 nt
Filed under: uncultured Brevundimonas sp.
Lineage: Bacteria; Pseudomonadati; Pseudomonadota; Alphaproteobacteria; Caulobacterales; Caulobacteraceae
Source: RNAcentral
UCAGGUUCCCCUCAGGGGGAUUAAGAGGGAACGGAGUGUGAAACUCCGGCUGUUCCCGCAACUGUAAGCGGUUAGCCCGCGCGUCAAACGCCACUGGCGGCUCGAGAGGUUUCGGCCUCCGACUGCUGGGAAGGCGACGCGCACCGGCCUUGAUCCGCGAGCCAGGAGACCUGCCUGUCGC